Molecule: ribosomal RNA, 253 nt
Filed under: uncultured bacterium
Lineage: Bacteria
Description: partial 16S ribosomal RNA
Rfam family: Bacterial small subunit ribosomal RNA
Source: RNAcentral
GACGUAGGAGGCGAGCGUUGUCCGGAUUCAUUGGGCGUAAAGAGCGCGCAGGCGGCUUGGUAAGUCGGAUGUGAAAUCCCGAGGCUCAACCUCGGGUCUGCAUCCGAUACUGCCCGGCUAGAGGUAGGUAGGGGAGAUCGGAAUUCCUGGUGUAGCGGUGAAAUGCGCAGAUAUCAGGAGGAACACCGGUGGCGAAGGCGGAUCUCUGGGCAUUACCUGACGCUCAGGCGCGAAAGCUAGGGGAGCGAACAGG